RNAcentral lists this ribosomal RNA (253 nucleotides) under uncultured bacterium. Its description in RNAcentral is "partial 16S ribosomal RNA". It matches the Rfam family "Bacterial small subunit ribosomal RNA", at positions 524 to 776 of the family's 1533-position model. The record is from RNAcentral.
UACGAAGGGGGCUAGCGUUGUUCGGAAUCACUGGGCGUAAAGCGCACGUAGGCGGAUUUGUUAGUCAGGGGUGAAAUCCCGGGGCUCAACCUCGGAACUGCCUUUGAUACUGCAAAUCUCGAGUCCGGAAGAGGUGAGUGGAAUUCCUAGUGUAGAGGUGAAAUUCGUAGAGAUUAGGAAGAACACCAGUGGCGAAGGCGGCUCACUGGUCCGGUUCUGACGACGAGGUGCGAAAGAGUGGGGAGCAAACAGG